UCCCUAUGGGGUGCACCAGGCGCGAAAACUCCGCAAUGCGCGAAAGCGUGAUAAGGGAACUCCGAGUGCCCGUAAAAUCGGGCUGUCCACCAGUUUAAAUAACUGGUGAAGAAAGGGCCGGGCAAGACCGGUGCCAGCCGCCGCGGUAAUACA
This 153-nucleotide ribosomal RNA is filed under the name uncultured Methanoculleus sp. Its description in RNAcentral is "partial 16S ribosomal RNA". It matches the Rfam family "Archaeal small subunit ribosomal RNA", at positions 319 to 477 of the family's 1478-position model. The record is from RNAcentral. Lineage: Archaea; Methanobacteriati; Methanobacteriota; Methanomicrobia; Methanomicrobiales; Methanomicrobiaceae.